Molecule: ribosomal RNA, 871 nt
Filed under: Cortinarius sp. PDD 112375
Lineage: Eukaryota; Fungi; Basidiomycota; Agaricomycetes; Agaricales; Cortinariaceae
Description: partial large subunit ribosomal RNA
Rfam family: Eukaryotic large subunit ribosomal RNA
Source: RNAcentral
ACAAGGAUUCCCCUAGUAACUGCGAGUGAAGCGGGAAAAGCUCAAAUUUAAAAUCUGGCAGUCUUUGGCUGUCCGAGUUGUAAUCUAGAGAAGUGUUAUCCGCGCUGGACCGUGUACAAGUCUCCUGGAAUGGAGCGUCAUAGAGGGUGAGAAUCCCGUCUUUGACACGGACUGCCAGGGCUUUUGUGAUGCGCUCUCAAAGAGUCGAGUUGUUUGGGAAUGCAGCUCAAAAUGGGUGGUAAAUUCCAUCUAAAGCUAAAUAUUGGCGAGAGACCGAUAGCGAACAAGUACCGUGAGGGAAAGAUGAAAAGAACUUUGGAAAGAGAGUUAAACAGUACGUGAAAUUGCUGAAAGGGAAACGCUUGAAGUCAGUCGCGUUGUCCAGGGAUCAACCUUGCUUUUGCUUGGUACACUUUCUGGUUGACGGGUCAGCAUCAAUUUUGACUAUUGGAAAAAGAUUAGGGGAAUGUGGCAUCUUUGGAUGUGUUAUAGCCCUUGGUUGUAUACAAUGGUUGGGAUUGAGGAACUCAGCACGCCGCAAGGCCGGGUUAUUAACCACGUACGUGCUUAGGAUGCUGGCAUAAUGGCUUUAAUCGACCCGUCUUGAAACACGGACCAAGGAGUCUAACAUGCCUGCGAGUGUUUGGGUGGAAAACCCGAGCGCGUAAUGAAAGUGAAAGUUGAGAUCCCUGUCGUGGGGAGCAUCGACGCCCGGACCAGACCUUUUGUGACGGUUCCGCGGUAGAGCAUGUAUGUUGGGACCCGAAAGAUGGUGAACUAUGCCUGAAUUAGGGUGAAGCCAGAGGAAACUCUGGUGGAGGCUCGUAGCGAUUCUGACGUGCAAAUCGAUCGUCAAAUUUGGGUUAUAGGG